This 302-nucleotide unclassified non-coding RNA is filed under the name Hevea brasiliensis (rubber tree). The record is from RNAcentral. Lineage: Eukaryota; Viridiplantae; Streptophyta; Magnoliopsida; Malpighiales; Euphorbiaceae.
GGAACCUCCUCCAGAACCACGAGUUGUGUAAAUUUCUUAGAUAAACGAAAGUGUUAGGUAGGUAUCAGUAUCACUCGCAUUCACAUUUAUAAAUGAAAAUAAAAUUUAAAGACCAAAUCCUUAUAAACUUAUAUUAAGACUAAUUUGUGAUUGCGAGUUUUAUUAAAUUUUAGAAAUGUAAUUAUAAUUUAUCAUUUAAUAGAAUAAAAUAAAAUGGUUAAUAAUAAAUUGUGAAGAGUAAACAAAUCAAAUAUGAAAGAAUAUAUAUAUAUUUUUUUGUUAUUUGGGGGUGGAGAGGCGGG